RNAcentral lists this ribosomal RNA (488 nucleotides) under uncultured bacterium. RNAcentral describes it as "bacterial SSU rRNA". It matches the Rfam family "Bacterial small subunit ribosomal RNA", at positions 32 to 518 of the family's 1533-position model. The record is from RNAcentral.
AACGCUGGCGGCGUGCCUAACACAUGCAAGUCGAGCGGAGUCGGUAAGAGGAAGUUUCGGAUGGAAUCUUAUUGAUUUAGCGGCGGACGGGUGAGUAACGCGUGAGCGACCAACCUUGCACAGGGGGAUAACGGACCGAAAGGUUCACUAAUACCGCAUGAGACCACGGUGUUGCAUGACACAGAGGUCAAAGGAGCAAUCCGGUGCAAGACGGGCUCGCGUCCGAUUAGGUAGUUGGAGGGUAACGGCCCACCAAGCCUAUGAUCGGUAGCCGACCUGAGAGGGUGAUCGGCCACAUUGGAACUGAGAUACGGUCCAAACUCCUACGGGAGGCAGCAGUGGGGAAUAUUGGGCAAUGGGGGGAAACCCUGACCCAGCAACGCCGCGUGAAGGAAGAAGGUUUUCGGAUUGUAAACUUCUGUCCUUGGUGAAGAGAAGAAGACGGUAGCCAAGGAGGAAGCCCCGGCUAACUACGUGCCAGCAGCUGC